ACACACUGUGAUACUUGAAAUGUGACAUUUAUAUGAAAUCAGCCUUCACAACAAACAACUUCUGAUUUAUUAAAGAAUGCACAUUAGAAGUAACUCAUUACUAAUGUGUGAAAAAUCUGAUUUAUCCUAUGUCUAUCAGGAAUCUUUAUAUCUAAAAAUCAGCGUUCACAAUACAUAGUUAAAGAAAUAUCACAAUAGUUCUUAAAUGUACAUAAAGAAAUAUCACAAAUUUCAGACAUUAUUAGAUACAACUUCUGGACAGAAAAUAUCAAUAAAAAGAAAAAUAAUCUUACCAACACAUAGUUUAAUUAGCGUUACUGAUAGAAAAAUAUCAUUAUAAAAAAUCAGCCAUCACAACACAAUCACAACACACUGUGAUACUUGAAAUGUGACAUUUAUAGAAAUCAGCCUUCAUAACAAACAACUUCUGAUUUAUUAAAGAAUGCACAUAGUUAAAGAAAUAUCACAACAGUUCUUAAAUGUACAUAAAGAAAUAUCAACAAAUUUCAGACAUUAUUAGAUACAACUUCUGGACAGAAAAUAUCAAUAAAAAGAAAAAUAAUCUUACCAACAUCCCGUUUAAUUAGCGUUACUGAUAGAAAAAUAUUAUUAUAAAAAAUUAGCCAUCACAACACAAUUACAACACACUGUGAUACUUGAAAUGUGACAUUUAUAUGAAAUCAGCCUUCACAACAAACAACUUCUGAUUUAUUAAAGAAUGCACAUAGUUAAAGAAAUAUCACAACAGUGCAUUCUCUUUGGUAAAAUGUCUAUCAUCAAUCUUCUGAUUUAUUAAAGUUCAUUUUAUGGUAAAGAUCAUAUUUUUAAGCAAAAAAAGUAAGAAAUGUAGAAUAAAUAUAUGAUACUUAAAAUGUCUAUCAUCAAUCUUCUGAUUUAUUCAAGUGCAUUCUAUGGUAAAGAUCAUAUUU
Molecule: long non-coding RNA, 929 nt
Filed under: Lupinus angustifolius (narrow-leaved blue lupine)
Lineage: Eukaryota; Viridiplantae; Streptophyta; Magnoliopsida; Fabales; Fabaceae
Description: long non-coding RNA (LANG_LNC001653)
Source: RNAcentral